GAUGAACGCUGGCGGCGUGCUUAACACAUGCAAGUCGAACGGUGAAGCAGAGCUUGCUCUGUGGAUCAGUGGCGAACGGGUGAGUAACACGUGAGCAACCUGCCCCUGACUCUGGGAUAAGCGCUGGAAACGGCGUCUAAUACUGGAUAUGAGCUGCGACCGCAUGGUCAGCAGUUGGAAAGAUUUUUCGGUCUGGGAUGGGCUCACGGCCUAUCAGCUUGUUGGUGAGGUAAUGGCUCACCAAGGCGUCGACGGGUAGCCGGCCUGAGAGGGUGACCGGCCACACUGGGACUGAGACACGGCCCAGACUCCUACGGGAGGCAGCAGUGGGGAAUAUUGCACAAUGGGCGAAAGCCUGAUGCAGCAACGCCGCGUGAGGGAUGACGGCCUUCGGGUUGUAAACCUCUUUUAGCAGGGAAGAAGCGGAAGUGACGGUACCUGCAGAAAAAGCGCCGGCUAACUACGUGCCAGCAGCCGCGGUAAUACGUAGGGCGCAAGCGUUAUCCGGAAUUAUUGGGCGUAAAGAGCUCGUAGGCGGUUUGUCGCGUCUGCUGUGAAAUCCCGAGGCUCAACCUCGGGUCUGCAGUGGGUACGGGCAGACUAGAGUGCGGUAGGGGAGAUUGGAAUUCCUGGUGUAGCGGUGGAGUGCGCAUAUAUCAGGAGGAACACCGAUGGCGAAGGCAGAUCUCUGGGCCGUUACUGACGCUGAGGAGCGAAAGGGUGGGGAGCAAACAGGCUUAGAUACCCUGGUAGUCCACCCCGUAAACGUUGGGAACUAGUUGUGGGGUCCAUUCCACGGAUUCCGUGACGCAGCUAACGCAUUAAGUUCCCCGCCUGGGGAGUACGGCCGCAAGGCUAAAACUCAAAGGAAUUGACGGGGACCCGCACAAGCGGCGGAGCAUGCGGAUUAAUUCGAUGCAACGCGAAGAACCUUACCAAGGCUUGACAUAUACGAGAACGGGCCAGAAAUGGUCAACUCUUUGGACACUCGUAAACAGGUGGUGCAUGGUUGUCGUCAGCUCGUGUCGUGAGAUGUUGGGUUAAGUCCCGCAACGAGCGCAACCCUCGUUCUAUGUUGCCAGCACGUAAUGGUGGGAACUCAUGGGAUACUGCCGGGGUCAACUCGGAGGAAGGUGGGGAUGACGUCAAAUCAUCAUGCCCCUUAUGUCUUGGGCUUCACGCAUGCUACAAUGGCCGGUACAAAGGGCUGCAAUACCGUGAGGUGGAGCGAAUCCCAAAAAGCCGGUCCCAGUUCGGAUUGAGGUCUGCAACUCGACCUCAUGAAGUCGGAGUCGCUAGUAAUCGCAGAUCAGCAACGCUGCGGUGAAUACGUUCCCGGGUCU
RNAcentral lists this ribosomal RNA (1343 nucleotides) under uncultured bacterium. RNAcentral describes it as "bacterial SSU rRNA". It matches the Rfam family "Bacterial small subunit ribosomal RNA", at positions 28 to 1381 of the family's 1533-position model. The record is from RNAcentral.